GGGGGCGCAAUGGUUUCGACGGGGGCAAGUUGCUCCUGGGAAGCGAGUCGAAGGGAUCCUGUACCUGCGUUAAAAAACUGGGAAUUUAAAUAUAAUUGCAAACGAUAAUUUUGCAUUAGCUGCCUAAUAGUUGCAGCUCGUCAGCCUAAGAGUCCCACGACUUAGGGUCUGGCGUCGACAGUGGGGAACCGAGCCUUACAAAGCUUUGAGUAAGGAACGGAAUUAAUGAAGCUACUGAAUCUAAGAGCCUGUUUAUCGGCGCUUAGAGGAGGGAAUGUAAAAGGAUAAACUGCACUCGGAGAUGCCCAGGGGUUGCUGCUUUCGGACAGGGGUUCGAUUCCCCUCGCCUCCACCA
RNAcentral lists this transfer-messenger RNA (355 nucleotides) under Clostridium botulinum H04402 065. RNAcentral describes it as "transfer-messenger RNA Clost_botul_H04065". It matches the Rfam family "transfer-messenger RNA". Rfam says of the family: Bacterial tmRNA, also known as 10Sa RNA or SsrA, is named for its dual tRNA and mRNA-like properties. Its role is to liberate the mRNA from a stalled ribosome. Lineage: Bacteria; Bacillati; Bacillota; Clostridia; Eubacteriales; Clostridiaceae. The record is from RNAcentral.